Molecule: ribosomal RNA, 637 nt
Filed under: uncultured bacterium
Lineage: Bacteria
Description: bacterial SSU rRNA
Rfam family: Bacterial small subunit ribosomal RNA
Source: RNAcentral
AGAGUUUGAUCCUGGCUCAGGAUGAACGCUAGCGACAGGCUUAACACAUGCAAGUCGAGGGGCAGCGGGUAGAUGAGCUUGCUCAUUUAUGCCGGCGACCGGCGCACGGGUGAGUAACACGUAUGCAACCUGCCCGUCUCAGGGGGAUAAUCGUCGGAAACGGCGUCUAAUACCCCGUAUGAAGCCGGACGGCAUCGUCUGGUUUUGAAAGAAUAUCGGAGACGGAUGUGCAUGCGGCGCAUUAGCUAGUUGGCGGGGUAACGGCCCACCAAGGCAACGAUGCGUAGGGGUUCUGAGAGGAAGGUCCCCCACACUGGUACUGAGACACGGACCAGACUCCUACGGAAGGCAGCAGUGAGGAAUAUUGGUCAAUGGGCGAGAGCCUGAACCAGCCAAGUCGCGUGAGGGAGUACUGCCCUAUGGGUUGUAAACCUCUUUUGUCGGGGAGCAAAAGCCGGACGUGUCCGGCUGUGAGAGUACCCGAAGAAAAAGCAUCGGCUAACUCCGUGCCAGCAGCCGCGGUAAUACGGAGGAUGCGAGCGUUAUCCGGAUUUAUUGGGUUUAGAGGGUGCGCAGGCGGAUUUUUAAGUCAGCGGUCAAAUCGUGGGGCUCCACCCCAUCCAGCCGUUUGAAACUG